AUCGCUUCUCGGCCUUUUGGCUAAGAUCAAGUGUAGAAACACACCUGAUGGCCUGAGCAGAACAAAAGAACAGCCAGUAAAGCUUAACUCAAGUCAUUAUGAGUCAUUCUUGGGAUUUUUAAAGGUUUUUUUCUUUCUUAAAAGAGGUUUCUGUCUCUACUGUCUUAAGGUACCAUUA
Small nuclear RNA from Heterocephalus glaber (naked mole-rat), 178 nucleotides. Its record names the gene U2. It matches the Rfam family "U2 spliceosomal RNA". Rfam says of the family: U2 is a small nuclear RNA (snRNA) component of the spliceosome (involved in pre-mRNA splicing). NCBI's taxonomy places the organism in Eukaryota, Metazoa, Chordata, Mammalia, Rodentia, Bathyergidae. The record is from Ensembl.